This 891-nucleotide unclassified non-coding RNA is filed under the name Hevea brasiliensis (rubber tree). Lineage: Eukaryota; Viridiplantae; Streptophyta; Magnoliopsida; Malpighiales; Euphorbiaceae. The record is from RNAcentral.
CAAGCUGCCUUUCCUCCAUGCUAGGUGGGUACCUGUCAGGACCAUGGGAACUAUUGGAAGGCGUGUUUGCAAUGCCAAAUGAACAAAACCCUUUUUAAACGAAAGCAAUCGUCCAUUUUUGGACCUGGUGCCUUCAGGAAAAAUGAUUAGCGAUAGGUUGUUUCUGACAACUGCACAAGCUGCCUCUUUCAUUGAUUGAAUUGCAGCAGUUGGGUUAGACCGAUCUAUCCGAAGAUGAUUGGCCAAUACAUAAAGUUGUCCAAAUAGAGGGUACCAGAUUAUCUCCUUCUUUGCAAUGCCAACUGUGCCUGUGGGGGUCAACCACAUCAUAAGGAAAAUGUCUAUAGGAGAAGCAUGAUUACUGAUAUAAAUCGCCUUCUCAUUUGAGAAUUCGACACCUUCAAUCUUUACAGAAUUCCCUAAGAUCCACAUCAGCAUUCUACCAGUUACAUGUCCAUAAAUAUUUCCCUGCCUAAUCCUCUCAUAAGGCCAUGGCAAGAGCAAGAGCAUGAUUAUAGCCCAUACAAAUGUUGUAACCAUCAUUGACACUAAACAGACCACAAUCCUUAUACAAGAUAUCAAUGCAGAAAUCCACCCAUCAUCAUCAACAUAAACAUCAGUGUUGGGCCUUUUCUCCUCAUCUUCCCUCCUCACUUUUUUCGGAAUUUCUUUCACAUGUGGGGUGCAGUUUGUGUUGAGGAAACUCUCAAAUCUCCUAUUCCUCAUAAAAGAAACACCUCCAUUGUUCUCCAUGAGCUUUGCAACAGAUAUCCAACUAUACCGUUUUCUCGAGAAAAUAAAGGAAACAAGGCACAGAAUCUGAUAGAAAGUUCAAGGAGAUAGGAUAGGAUAUCUAAAGAGAGAAUAGAGUAUCAGGGUCUUGGAAGUCUU